UGUUGGUUUUGAAGACAGGAUCUCUCUGU
Molecule: non-coding RNA, 29 nt
Filed under: Rattus norvegicus (Norway rat)
Lineage: Eukaryota; Metazoa; Chordata; Mammalia; Rodentia; Muridae
Source: RNAcentral